Molecule: ribosomal RNA, 733 nt
Filed under: uncultured eukaryote
Lineage: Eukaryota
Description: SSU rRNA
Rfam family: Eukaryotic small subunit ribosomal RNA
Source: RNAcentral
GGUACGCACUACUGUCGGCCGGCUUUCGUGCCGGUUUUCCCGUCGUGGCCUUCGCCGGUCGCGGCGGGUGGCUGGCGAGUUUACUUUGAGAAAAUCAGAGUGCUCAACACAGGCGUCUAGCUUGAAUGAUUGUGCAUGGAAUAAUGGAAAAGGAUCACGGUCCUCUUUUAUUGGUUUUGUGGACUGAGAUAAUGGUUAACAGGGACAAACGGGGGCAUUCGUAUCGCUGCGUGAGAGGUGAAAUUCUUGGACCGUAGCGAGACGCCCGACUGCGAAAGCAUUUGCCAAGAAUGUCUUCAUUAAUCAAGAACGAAAGUCAGAGGUUCGAAGGCGAUCAGAUACCGCCCUAGUUCUGACCGUAAACGAUGCCAACUAGCGAUUCGCCGGUGGAUUUCACGCCCUGGUGGGUAGCUUCCCGGAAACGAAAGUCUUCCGGUUCCGGGGGAAGUAUGGUUGCAAAGCUGAAACUUAAAGGAAUUGACGGAAGGGCACCACCAGGAGUGGAGCCUGCGGCUUAAUUUGACUCAACACGGGGAAACUCACCCGGCCCGGACACCGUGAGGAUUGACAGAUUGAGAGCUCUUUCAUGAUUCGGUGGUUGGUGGUGCAUGGGCCGUUCUUAGUUCGUGGAUCGAUUUGUCUGGUUUAUUCCGAUAACGAGCGAGACUCUAGCCUACUAAAUAGCCGCGAUAUUACUUUAACUGUGUCGCGCGCUUCUUAGAGGGAUUCGCGG